AAGGAUAUAGCUCAGGGGUAGAGCAUGUGCUUAGCAUGCACGAGGUCCUGGGUUCAAUCCCCAGUACCUCUA
RNAcentral lists this transfer RNA (72 nucleotides) under Camelus dromedarius (Arabian camel). It matches the Rfam family "tRNA". Rfam says of the family: Transfer RNA (tRNA) molecules are approximately 80 nucleotides in length. Their secondary structure includes four short double-helical elements and three loops (D, anti-codon, and T loops). The record is from Rfam by way of RNAcentral. Lineage: Eukaryota; Metazoa; Chordata; Mammalia; Artiodactyla; Camelidae. RNAcentral also lists the same sequence under 1 other name.